Molecule: ribosomal RNA, 430 nt
Filed under: bacterium enrichment culture clone 126
Lineage: Bacteria
Description: bacterial SSU rRNA
Rfam family: Bacterial small subunit ribosomal RNA
Source: RNAcentral
AGAGUUUGAUCCUGGCUCAGAUUGAACGCUGGCGGCAGGCCUAACACAUGCAAGUCGAGCGGAUGAGUGGAGCUUGCUCCAUGAUUCAGCGGCGGACGGGUGAGUAAUGCCUAGGAAUCUGCCUGGUAGUGGGGGACAACGUUUCGAAAGGAACGCUAAUACCGCAUACGUCCUACGGGAGAAAGCAGGGGACCUUCGGGCCUUGCGCUAUCAGAUGAGCCUAGGUCGGAUUAGCUAGUUGGUGAGGUAAAGGCUCACCAAGGCGACGAUCCGUAACUGGUCUGAGAGGAUGAUCAGUCACACUGGAACUGAGACACGGUCCAGACUCCUACGGGAGGCAGCAGUGGGGAAUAUUGGACAAUGGGCGAAAGCCUGAUCCAGCCAUGCCGCGUGUGUGAAGAAGGUCUUCGGAUUGUAAAGCACUUUAAGU